Molecule: transfer RNA, 72 nt
Filed under: Loxodonta africana (African savanna elephant)
Lineage: Eukaryota; Metazoa; Chordata; Mammalia; Proboscidea; Elephantidae
Rfam family: tRNA
About the family: Transfer RNA (tRNA) molecules are approximately 80 nucleotides in length. Their secondary structure includes four short double-helical elements and three loops (D, anti-codon, and T loops). Further hydrogen bonds mediate the characteristic L-shaped molecular structure. tRNAs have two regions of fundamental functional importance: the anti-codon, which is responsible for specific mRNA codon recognition, and the 3' end, to which the tRNAs corresponding amino acid is attached (by aminoacyl-tRNA synthetases). tRNAs cope with the degeneracy of the genetic code in two manners: having more than one tRNA (with a specific anti-codon) for a particular amino acid; and 'wobble' base-pairing, i.e. permitting non-standard base-pairing at the 3rd anti-codon position.
Source: Rfam by way of RNAcentral
CUGUGGGUGGUGAAAAUGGUUAACACAUUUGGCUACUAACCAAAAGUUUGGAGGUUUGAGUCCACCCAGAGA